UCCCGAAGAGAUUUGGGAGUGCUCGCAAGAGAACCGGAACACAGGUGCUGCAUGGCUGUCGUCAGCUCGUGUCUCGUGAGAUGUUGGGUUAAGUCCCGCAACGAGCGCAACCCUUGUCAUUAGUUGCUACGAAGGGCACUCUAAUGAGACUGCCAGUGAGCAAACCGGAGGAAGGUGGGGAUGACGUCAAGUCCUCAUGGCCCUUAUGGGUAGGGCUUCACACGUCAUACAAUGGUCGGGACAGAGGGGUCGCCAACCCGCGAGGGGGAGCCAAUCCCAGAAACCCGAUCGUAGUCGGAUCGCAGUCUGCAACUCGACUGCGUGAAGUCGGAAUCGCUAGUAAUCGCGGAUCAGCAUGUCGCGGUGAAUACGUUCAGGUCUUGUACACACCGCCCGUCACACCAUGGGAGUGGGUUUUACCAGAAGUAGUUAGCCUAACCGUAAGGAGGGCGAUUACCACGGUAGGAUUCCAUGACUGGGGUGAAGUCGUAACAAGGUAG
RNAcentral lists this unclassified non-coding RNA (500 nucleotides) under uncultured Bordetella sp. RNAcentral's name for it is "partial 16S-23S ribosomal RNA intergenic spacer". It matches the Rfam family "Bacterial small subunit ribosomal RNA", at positions 996 to 1499 of the family's 1533-position model. Lineage: Bacteria; Pseudomonadati; Pseudomonadota; Betaproteobacteria; Burkholderiales; Alcaligenaceae. The record is from RNAcentral.